RNAcentral lists this ribosomal RNA (464 nucleotides) under Vreelandella stevensii. RNAcentral's name for it is "partial 16S ribosomal RNA". It matches the Rfam family "Bacterial small subunit ribosomal RNA", at positions 338 to 795 of the family's 1533-position model. Lineage: Bacteria; Pseudomonadati; Pseudomonadota; Gammaproteobacteria; Oceanospirillales; Halomonadaceae. The record is from RNAcentral.
CCUACGGUCACAGCAGUGGGGAAUAUUGGACAAUGGGCGAAAGCCUGAUCCAGCCAUGCCGCGUGUGUGAAGAAGGCCUUCGGGUUGUAAAGCACUUUCAGUGGGGAAGAAAGCCUUGGGGCUAAUACCCUCGAGGAAGGACAUCACCCACAGAAGAAGCACCGGCUAACUCCGUGCCAGCAGCCGCGGUAAUACGGAGGGUGCGAGCGUUAAUCGGAAUUACUGGGCGUAAAGCGCGCGUAGGCGGUCUGAUAAGCCGGUUGUGAAAGCCCCGGGCUCAACCUGGGAACGGCAUCCGGAACUGUCAGGCUAGAGUGCAGGAGAGGAAGGUAGAAUUCCCGGUGUAGCGGUGAAAUGCGUAGAGAUCGGGAGGAAUACCAGUGGCGAAGGCGGCCUUCUGGACUGACACUGACGCUGAGGUGCGAAAGCGUGGGUAGCAAACAGGAUUAGAUACCCUUGUAGUC